This is a non-coding RNA of Callithrix jacchus (white-tufted-ear marmoset), 449 nucleotides long. Lineage: Eukaryota; Metazoa; Chordata; Mammalia; Primates; Cebidae. The record is from RefSeq and is a predicted model, not a curated record.
AGUGUUUUUUGUUGUAUAUGUACCACAUUUUCUUUAUCCAGUCUACCAUUGAUGGGCAUUUAGCUUGAUUCCAUAUUUUUGCUAUUGUGAACAGUGCUGCCAUGGACAUAUGCAUGCACAUGUCUCUAUAACAGAAGGAUUUAUAUUCCUUUGGGUACAUACCUAGUAACCCGUUACUAGGUUUGCUGAAUCAAAUGGUAUUUCACUCCUUAGGUCUUUGAGGAAUCAUGACACUUUUUCACAAUGGCAGAACUAAUUUGCAUUCCCGAAUACAGUGUAUGGAGUGUUGUUCUCUCAACCAGGCUGGAGUGCAGUGGUGUGAUAUGGGCUCACUGCAACAUUUAUCUCCUGGGUUCAAGCAGUUCUCCUGCCUCAGCCUCCUGAGUACCUGGGAUUACAGAUGAAGAAGAUGAGACUCAGAGCAAUACAUAAGUUGCCCAAGGUCAGAG